Molecule: ribosomal RNA, 565 nt
Filed under: Saccharomyces cerevisiae (brewer's yeast)
Lineage: Eukaryota; Fungi; Ascomycota; Saccharomycetes; Saccharomycetales; Saccharomycetaceae
Description: eukaryotic LSU rRNA
Rfam family: Eukaryotic large subunit ribosomal RNA
Source: RNAcentral
AACCGGGAUUGCCUUAGUAACGGCGAGUGAAGCGGCAAAAGCUCAAAUUUGAAAUCUGGUACCUUCGGUGCCCGAGUUGUAAUUUGGAGAGGGCAACUUUGGGGCCGUUCCUUGUCUAUGUUCCUUGGAACAGGACGUCAUAGAGGGUGAGAAUCCCGUGUGGCGAGGAGUGCGGUUCUUUGUAAAGUGCCUUCGAAGAGUCGAGUUGUUUGGGAAUGCAGCUCUAAGUGGGUGGUAAAUUCCAUCUAAAGCUAAAUAUUGGCGAGAGACCGAUAGCGAACAAGUACAGUGAUGGAAAGAUGAAAAGAACUUUGAAAAGAGAGUGAAAAAGUACGUGAAAUUGUUGAAAGGGAAGGGCAUUUGAUCAGACAUGGUGUUUUGUGCCCUCUGCUCCUUGUGGGUAGGGGAAUCUCGCAUUUCACUGGGCCAGCAUCAGUUUUGGUGGCAGGAUAAAUCCAUAGGAAUGUAGCUUGCCUCGGUAAGUAUUAUAGCCUGUGGGAAUACUGCCAGCUGGGACUGAGGACUGCGACGUAAGUCAAGGAUGCUGGCAUAGAUGGUUAUAUGC